UACGGAAGGCAGCAGUAGGGAAUAUUGGGCAAUGGGCGAGAGCCUGACCCAGCCAUGCCGCGUGCAGGAAGAAGGCUUUCUGAGUCGUAAACUGCUUUUGACAGGGAAGAAUAAGGUGUACGUGUACACUGAUGACGGUACCUGCAGAAUAAGCACCGGCUAACUCCGUGCCAGCAGCCGCGGUAAUACGGAGGGUGCGAGCGUUGUCCGGAUUUAUUGGGUUUUAAAGGGUGCGUAGGCGGUCCAUUAAGUCUGGGGUGAAAGCCCGCUGCUCAACAGCGGAACUGCCCUGGAUACUGGCGGACUUGAGUACAGACGAGGUUGGCGGAAUGGACAGAGUAGCGGUGAAAUGCAUAGAUACUGUCCAGAACCCCGAUUGCGAAGGCAGCUGACCAGGGCUGUUACUGACGCUGAGGCACGAAAGCGUGGGGAGCGGAACAGGAAUUAGGAUACCC
Molecule: ribosomal RNA, 455 nt
Filed under: uncultured bacterium
Lineage: Bacteria
Description: bacterial SSU rRNA
Rfam family: Bacterial small subunit ribosomal RNA
Source: RNAcentral